CAUACAGAUACAGUCAUACAGGCAUUGAGAUACACAGACACUAACAUACACAAUCAUACAGAGACAUACAGGCACAGACAUUCAGAUACAGUCACACAGAGACAUGCAGGCACAGACAUUGAGAUGCAGUCAUACAGACACUGUCAUACAGAGACAUAUUUACACAGACACAGUCAUACACAGACAUUCAGACACAGUCAUACAAUUAAGAAA
Non-coding RNA from Pelobates cultripes (western spadefoot toad), 213 nucleotides. NCBI's taxonomy places the organism in Eukaryota, Metazoa, Chordata, Amphibia, Anura, Pelobatidae. The record is from the annotation of a GenBank genome assembly.